UACAGAGGUCCCAAGCGUUGUUCGGAUUCACUGGGCGUAAAGGGUGCGUAGGUGGUUAGGUAAGUCCGAUGUGAAAUCUCCAGGCUCAACCUGGAAAUGGCAUUGGAUACUAUUUAGCUUGAGGAGUGGAGGGGGGACUGGAAUUCUCGGUGUAGCAGUGAAAUGCGUAGAUAUCGAGAGGAACACCAGUGGCGAAGGCGAGUCCCUGG
RNAcentral lists this ribosomal RNA (209 nucleotides) under uncultured prokaryote. RNAcentral describes it as "partial 16S ribosomal RNA". It matches the Rfam family "Bacterial small subunit ribosomal RNA", at positions 524 to 732 of the family's 1533-position model. The record is from RNAcentral.